UUUUUAUAAGUUUCCUUCCACAUGCUUAAUGAGCUCUUGAUUACAUUAUUCUCUCAUUCUUCAAGAGGAUUUUUCCUCAAAUCUAAACAUACAUAAAUAAUUUGCAUAAAUAAUUAGUUGAUUGAAAAAAAUAUUUUCCUUUUCUCUUUUCUUUCUUUUUGAAAUUUAUUUAUAUUUUCUUCUAUAUUCUCCAAGAGAUUUUUUUCUCAAUCUUCUCUUCUUUUCUCUCAAAUAUAUAUAUUUCUUUUCAUCUCUCUCC
RNAcentral lists this long non-coding RNA (259 nucleotides) under Lathyrus oleraceus (garden pea). Its description in RNAcentral is "Pisum sativum (pea) long non-coding RNA (PSAT_LNC001669)". The record is from RNAcentral. Lineage: Eukaryota; Viridiplantae; Streptophyta; Magnoliopsida; Fabales; Fabaceae.